Molecule: long non-coding RNA, 1650 nt
Organism: Manis pentadactyla (Chinese pangolin)
Lineage: Eukaryota; Metazoa; Chordata; Mammalia; Pholidota; Manidae
Exons: 3
Source: RefSeq, a predicted model, not a curated record
CUGAGCUUCAGUUUCCUUAUCUAUAAAUGGGGUGACCAUAGUACCUGGCUUCAUCACUUGCUGGGAGGUGCUAAUGCACAGGGGUUGAUCAGUGUCAGUUCUUGUUAUUGUUUAUCAAUGGUUUAGGUAGUUUUUCAAAUCCCCAUUCUGGCUUUCUAGAGAUAACGGGAUUUCAGCUCUUUCUGUGGUCAAAACAAUUUCUGAUCUUGCUCAACAGUCCUACAACCUCACAAGAUUGUUCCUCAUUGCCAUGCUUUUUGGAGGUCUUACGUCUGCUUAUAUCCUUUUUCCAUUAGCACCCUUGAAACUUCAGGUUAAUGUCUGAGGUCUUACUAGAUGCCAGGGACCGUGCUAACCAUGUGACAGACAUCAUUUUCUGUAACCAUCAUACUAACCAUCCUAAUAAUGAGGUCAGCUAGUAGGUGGUGGUGGUGGGGGGUGUUCUUCCCAUCCCUUGUCUUCAGCACUGCUGGUUGGUCCCCGUGGAGUAACUCCCUGUGCCCAUUUUACAUAACCGAUCUCAUUACUAUUGUGUCUAAACUAUGAGUUAACUGGCUGUAAGUAAGGGCUAUAGCCAUUAGUGUAAUUCAGCCCCACAGCAAUGUACUGACCAUCCACAGGAUGCCAGAUCUGUUUUAUUUUUUUGAAACACUGAGUUGCAUUUAUUUGGGAAUUUAGGGAUGGCAAUCCAAAGAGACGCAGAUUGAGGUAGCACCCUAAACUGUCCUCCGAGCCGCAGACAAAGUUGAGGGGUUUUAAAGAUAAACAACAGAAGUUAACUCAUUUGCAUAAAUUAUUUUGAACAUUUUGCAUUUGGAACCUGCAGACAAGUUUGCACACUAUUCAGUGUCUGGUUGCACAUCAGGCAAGUGUCCGUAUAGGUCCAUUAACAGCUGGUGCUCUGGGGAAUGCUGUGUGGCACUCUUCUGACAUGAGAUGGCCACCGUGUGCAGACCUCAUUUCCUUAGUGGCUUCCUGGCUCCAUUUUUGUUUCCUUUAGCCACGCUGACUCCAUUUUUAUUUGAUGUCCCACGGCACACUAGGCUUGCACCUACCACAGCUUCCAGGACAUGUAUCUUAUUCGACCAAACCACUCCCACAGCUGUAUGGCGGUGCCUGGGCCUUGAGUUUUCUGGGGGUUCACUGCCCAUCCUCUUCCUCGCAGAUGUUCCAGCAAAGCCUGCAGAGUGUCCUACAAGGCUUGUGUGGGUGACCGCGAGCCCGAUCCAUUUCUGCACCCUUCCUCCACAAUCUUAAGAGUGUAUAGAGAGGCCUGAACUGGGCGCAGUCAUGUAUAUGGUCCAGAUGGUCUCAGCACGUCUCAUGGCUGUGCCCUUGGGGCAGCUUCCGGGAGCAGGAAAGCAAGCAGGAUGCACAUUCCAAGGACAGGGGAGCAGAAGAAGAUAAAUUCCUGGGCCCUGAUCCAUUUAGACUGGAGUUGACUCAUUAAAGGUGUUGGAAAUGUCUCUUAGUUGCUCAAGAUUUGGAUCACAGACCUUUCUCAGGAGCUGUGGGUGUGUCAGCCGUCACACUGAAGGGAAUGGAGGCCCAAGGAGCAUCAGAGGCUCCCAGACAUGUCUGCUGGAGAUCAGAAGGCUGAGGAUCCCCUGAUGAACUCCCUCCAGAGGCACCAGCCCCUCUGGGUUGCUU